UGGCUCAUCUGAAGUUCCUCCUUCUCCUCCUGUGGGUUGGUGUCACAGAGAGCGCAGUCCUGGAUUUACACAAAAGAAUCUUCAACGGUUAUGACUGUGAAAACACCAAGCAUCUGUACCAUGUGAAAAUAACUGCAACCAAAGGAACAGCUGUUUCUCGAUGUGGAGGCUCUCUGAUCCACAGAGAGUGGGUUCUAACUGCAGCUCACUGUUGGAAAGAUCAACCUGGAUGGACUAUGUCUGCAUAUGUAGGAAUUCAUCCAGGUCCAGGAAGUAUGGUUGCAAUUAGGGAUCACCAAAUCUUUCAGAACCAUGACAUCAUGCUACUGAAAAUCUCACCAGCAUCGAUCAGGACUGACCUUGUUCAGUUACCUGAUUGUACCGUUCCUCC
Maylandia zebra (zebra mbuna) is the source of this 391-nucleotide non-coding RNA. NCBI's taxonomy places the organism in Eukaryota, Metazoa, Chordata, Actinopteri, Cichliformes, Cichlidae. The record is from RefSeq and is a predicted model, not a curated record.